AUUGAACGCUGGCGGCAUGCCUUACACAUGCAAGUCGAACGGCAGCACGGGAGCAAUCCUGGUGGCGAGUGGCGAACGGGUGAGUAAUAUAUCGGAACGUGCCCAGUCGUGGGGGAUAACGUAGCGAAAGCUACGCUAAUACCGCAUACGAUAUAUGGAUGAAAGCGGGGGAUCGCAAGACCUAGCGCGAUUGGAGCGGCCGAGAUCAGAUUAGGUAGUUGGUGAGGUAAAGGCUCACCAAGCCGACGAUCUGUAGCUGGUCUGAGAGGACGACCAGCCACACUGGGACUGAGACACGGCCCAGACUCCUACGGGAGGAAGCAGUGGGGAAUUUUGGACAAUGGGCGCAAGCCUGAUCCAGCAAUGCCGCGUGCAGGAUGAAGGCCUUCGGGUUGUAAACUGCUUUUGUACGGAACGAAACGGCGAGCUCUAAUACAGUUUGCUAAUGACGGUACCGUAAGAAUAAGCACCGGCUAACUACGUGCCAGCCGCCGCAGUAA
RNAcentral lists this ribosomal RNA (500 nucleotides) under uncultured bacterium. RNAcentral's name for it is "partial 16S ribosomal RNA". It matches the Rfam family "Bacterial small subunit ribosomal RNA", at positions 30 to 523 of the family's 1533-position model. The record is from RNAcentral.